CCUACGGGGAGGCAGCAGUGGGGAAUAUUGCACAAUGGGGGAAACCCUGAUGCAGCCAUGCCGCGUGUGUGAAGAAGGCCUUCGGGUUGUAAAGCACUUUCAGUAGGGAGGAAGGUAGUGUAGUUAACACCUGCAUUAUUUGACGUUACCUACAGAAGAAGCACCGGCUAACUCCGUGCCAGCAGCCGCGGUAAUACGGAGGGUGCGAGCGUUAAUCGGAAUUACUGGGCGUAAAGCGCAUGCAGGCGGCCUGUUAAGUCAGAUGUGAAAGCCCGGGGCUUAACCUCGGAAUUGCAUUUGAAACUGGCAGGCUAGAGUCUUGUAGAGGGGGGUAGGAAUUUCAGGUGUAGCGGUGAAAUGCGUAGAGAUCUGAAGGAAUACCAGUGGCGAAGGCGGCCCCCUGGACAAAGACUGACGCUCAGAUGCGAAAGCGUGGGGAGCAAACAGGAUUAGAUACCCUGGUAG
RNAcentral lists this ribosomal RNA (465 nucleotides) under uncultured bacterium. Its description in RNAcentral is "bacterial SSU rRNA". It matches the Rfam family "Bacterial small subunit ribosomal RNA", at positions 338 to 793 of the family's 1533-position model. The record is from RNAcentral.